This 403-nucleotide ribosomal RNA is filed under the name uncultured bacterium. RNAcentral's name for it is "bacterial SSU rRNA". It matches the Rfam family "Bacterial small subunit ribosomal RNA", at positions 29 to 477 of the family's 1533-position model. The record is from RNAcentral.
AGCGAACGCUGGCGGCAGGCUUAACACAUGCAAGUCGAGCGGGCGUAGCAAUACGUCAGCGGCAGACGGGUGAGUAACGCGUGGGAACAUACCUUUUGGUUCGGAACAACACAGGGAAACUUGUGCUAAUACCGGAUAAGCCCUUACGGGGAAAGAUUUAUCGCCGAAAGAUUGGCCCGCGUCUGAUUAGCUAGUUGGUGAGGUAACGGCUCACCAAGGCGACGAUCAGUAGCUGGCUGAGAGGAUGAUCAGCCACACUGGGACUGAGACACGGCCCAGACUCCUACGGGAGGCAGCAGUGGGAAUAUUGGACAAUGGGCGCAAGCCUGAUCCAGCAAUGCCGCGUGGAUGAAGAAGGUUUUCGGAUUGUAAAGUCCUUUCGGCGGGGACGAUGAUGACGGUA